UACGUAGGUGGCAAGCGUUGCCCGGAUUUACUGGGCGUAAAGAGCGCGCAGGCGGUCAGAUAAGUCGAAUGUGAAAGCCCCCGGCUCAACUGGGGAGGGUCAUUCGAUACUGUUCGACUCGAAGGCAGGAGAGGGAAGUGGAAUUCCCGGUGUAGUGGUGAAAUGCGUAGAUAUCGGGAGGAACACCAGUGGCGAAGGCGACUUCCUGGCCUGUUCUUGACGCUGAGGCGCGAAAGCUAGGGGAGCAAACGGG
This 253-nucleotide ribosomal RNA is filed under the name uncultured bacterium. RNAcentral's name for it is "partial 16S ribosomal RNA". It matches the Rfam family "Bacterial small subunit ribosomal RNA", at positions 524 to 776 of the family's 1533-position model. The record is from RNAcentral.